Molecule: ribosomal RNA, 1507 nt
Filed under: uncultured Rhodocyclaceae bacterium
Lineage: Bacteria; Pseudomonadati; Pseudomonadota; Betaproteobacteria; Rhodocyclales; Rhodocyclaceae
Description: 16S ribosomal RNA
Rfam family: Bacterial small subunit ribosomal RNA
Source: RNAcentral
UUAGAGUUUGAUCCUGGCUCAGAUUGAACGCUGGCGGCAUGCUUUACACAUGCAAGUCGAACGGUAACGCGGGGGCAACCCUGGCGACGAGUGGCGAACGGGUGAGUAAUACAUCGGAACAUGUCCUGGAGUGGGGGAUAGCUCGGCGAAAGCCGGAUUAAUACCGCAUACGCUCCGAGGAGGAAAGCGGGGGACCUGGUAACGGGCCUCGCGCUGCGGGAGUGGCCGAUGUCGGAUUAGCUAGUUGGUGAGGUAAAGGCUCACCAAGGCGACGAUCCGUAGCUGGUCUGAGAGGAUGAUCAGCCACACUGGGACUGAGACACAGCCCAGACUCCUACGGGAGGCAGCAGUGGGGAAUUUUGGACAAUGGGGGCAACCCUGAUCCAGCCAUGCCGCGUGAGUGAAGAAGGCCUUCGGGUUGUAAAGCUCUUUCGGACGGAACGAAAUGGUUACGGUGAAUAACCGUGACUGAUGACGGUACAGUAAGAAGAAGCACCGGCUAACUACGUGCCAGCAGCCGCGGUAAUACGUAGGGUGCGAGCGUUAAUCGGAAUUACUGGGCGUAAAGCGUGCGCAGGCGGUUCGCCAAGUCAGGUGUGAAAUCCCCGGGCUUAACCUGGGAAUUGCGCUUGAAACUAGCGGGCUUGAGUGCGGCAGAGGGGGGUGGAAUUCCACGUGUAGCAGUGAAAUGCGUAGAGAUGUGGAGGAACACCGAUGGCGAAGGCAGCCCCCUGGGUCGACACUGACGCUCAUGCACGAAAGCGUGGGGAGCAAACAGGAUUAGAUACCCUGGUAGUGCACGCCCUAAACGAUGUCGACUAGGUGUUGGGGAAGGAGACUUCCUUAGUACCGCAGCUAACGCGUGAAGUCGACCGCCUGGGGAGUACGGUCGCGAGAUUAAAACUCAAAGGAAUUGACGGGGACCCGCACAAGCGGUGGAUGAUGUGGAUUAAUUCGAUGCAACGCGAAAAACCUUACCUACCCUUGACAUGCCAGGAAGUUGGCCGAGAGGUCGAUGUGCCCGAAAGGGAACCUGGACACAGGUGCUGCAUGGCUGUCGUCAGCUCGUGUCGUGAGAUGUUGGGUUAAGUCCCGCAACGAGCGCAACCCUUGUCAUUAGUUGCUACAUUUAGUUGGGCACUCUAAUGAGACUGCCGGUGACAAACCGGAGGAAGGUGGGGAUGACGUCAAGUCCUCAUGGCCCUUAUGGGUAGGGCCUCACACGUCAUACAAUGGCGCAUACAGAGGGUUGCCAACCCGCGAGGGGGAGCCAAUCCCAGAAAGUGCGUCGUAGUCCGGAUCGGAGUCUGCAACUCGACUCCGUGAAGUCGGAAUCGCUAGUAAUCGCGGAUCAGCAUGUCGCGGUGAAUACGUUCCCGGGUCUUGUACACACCGCCCGUCACACCAUGGGAGUGGGUUCCACCAGAAGCCGGUCGCUUAACCGCAAGGAUGGCGCCGACCACGGUGAGAUUCAUGACUGGGGUGAAGUCGUAACAAGGUAGCCGUA